Molecule: ribosomal RNA, 3000 nt
Filed under: Pinus taeda (loblolly pine)
Lineage: Eukaryota; Viridiplantae; Streptophyta; Pinopsida; Pinales; Pinaceae
Description: eukaryotic LSU rRNA
Rfam family: Eukaryotic large subunit ribosomal RNA (bases 1165-3000)
Source: RNAcentral
CACAUGCGAUAACGGUUAACAUUUUCCGCGCCGUUAGAGGUUGUCCGUGUCAACAGUUACAAAAACCCAACGGUUUAAUCAUUACCGCGUUCACAUGGCAGACUCCUCUAAUGCGGUUUACUGAUGGUUUAGCACUGUAGUGAACUCUAACCUCUGCCCGCUAACUCGAUCACAUGAGCUGCGGUUAGGGAUGGCGGUUUGACUGAUAUUUUUUUUGUUUAUAAUGUUUUAUAGGUUGAGAGGGUUUAGAGCUAGGGUUAGGACAUUAGAACUUUAGGUUUUGAAUGUGAUAGGUUUAGACUUAGGUAAUGUGGUUUGUCAAUGUAUUUUCAAUACACAAUGUUAUGUAUUAGGACUUUUAAUACAUGGUUUAGGUUAGGUAAUGGAUUUUGAAUACAUGGAUAAUGUAUUAGGGUUUAACAUAGGUUUGUUACAUGAUUUUGAUAUGUAGAAUAAGAUUUAGGGCUUAGACUUAGGAUAAGAGUGAAUUAGAAUUCUUAGGGUAAAUAAAGAUAAAUAGGAUAGCUUAGGAGUUAGGGUUUAGGUCUAGGCUUAGGUUUUAGGUUUCAUUUAACUUUCAAAGACCCAUGUCACCUCUGCACAGCGACAUCAGUGAAACUGAAGCCUUUACCAGACGAUCGACCCCAGCACAUCCUUGUGGUCUCCGUGUACCAUUUGUCAACGUUGCACAAUGACGACCAUCACAUAUUUGAAACUGACACUGGUGACGGUGACAAGACUAUGUCGUCAACCAGGUACUUUAACUCGAACCCUUUUACACAAUCAACUAUAUCAACCAUAAAUCCGGUAAAGUCGAACGACAAAACACAUGUUGUUGACCAAACCCUGGCAGAACUGUCGAUGACAUAAGUCGAAAACUAGGUAUAACAUCACAUCAACUGAAUGCCAUGAAACCAUAACAUUACCUGAACCUAAUCAUUACCAACAUUUUCAAUCUGUCGACACUGAACUGAAGCGAUAAUGACACUGAACGACACUGAUCGACACCCAUGAAUAUUGAUGACGUCACUUCAAACACUUGUGCAGUUGGAUCGAUGGAUCCUCCUGGAUCGUAGAGCCACAACCAAGAGCCGAGAGCCAGAGCCAGAGCCGAGAGCCAGAAGAGCUGAGAGCUUCAAGAGACAGGGAUAAAAUGGUGUCUAAACCCAUUGUUUCUGUGUAAAAUAGUGGGUUUGAGCCAAGAGCUUGUAAAGUACUUUUCCAGAAUCCCAGAGAGCCUAGUUGAGUUGGUUAGAGCUCAUGGAGACGUAGCCCAAGAGUUUUGGGUGAACUCCUAAUUAAAUUGUUGUAUUAUGUGUGUUGUUUUAUUGUUGCAUUAUAUCUACUGCUUUAGUUGUUGUCAUAUCAAUUCAAGCAAAUAGACUUAAAACCACAUAAACAUUCAACAAUAAACAUAAGCAUACACCUUAUCUUAAGCACAUAUUUAAUUUUGCAUUGGUUAAUCAUGAAGACUUGGGAAUAUUUGAAGCUUUGGAAGUGGGAGAGGUUCUUGCAAAUUAGACAAGAAGCCUAAGUGCCCCAUUUUCAGAUCAACCCUCGGUGACCCUUGAAAAUCUGGAGGGCUGAGUAUCGUUCAUGCUCGAUUGUACUCAUAACCGCAUCAGGUCUCCAAGCUGAACAUCCUUUGGUCAAUAGAACAAUGUAGGUAAGGGAAGUCGGCAAAAUGGAUCCGUAACUUCAGGAAAAGGAUUGGCUCUGAGGGUUGGGCCUAGGGCUCUACGCCCUCAACUCAUGGGUUAUCAGUAGUCUGCCCAAGCUACUCUCAUGGCGAGGAUGGACACUCACGUGUUGAUUGGGCUACAAGCAUAGAAUGUCCCCUACUAGGGGUUUUUCCCUAGGGGAAAAAGUCGACUUAGAACUAGUACAGACAUGGGGAAUCCGACUAUUGCUAGUGCUCUGAAUGUCAAAGUGAAUAAAUUCAACCAAGCACGGGUAAACAACAGGAGUAACUAUGAUUCUUGUAAGGUAGCGAAAUGCCUUGCUAUCUAAUUAGUGACACACAUGAAUGGAUUAACGAGAUUCACACUGUCCCUAUCUACUAUCUAGCGAAACCACAACCAAGGGAAUGGGAUUAGCAGAAUUAGCGGGGAAGGAAGACCCUAUUGAGCUUGACUCUAGUCUGAAUUUGUGAAAUGACAUGAGAGGUGUAGACUAAGUGGGAGUCAUUUUCAAUGCAAGUGAAAUACCGCUACUUUUAACAUUAUUUUACUUAUUCUGUGGCCAGAGAUGGGGCACUGCCCCUUUUUCUGGCCUUAAGGCACGUUUCGAUGGGUAAUCCAAGCAGAAGACAUUGUCAAGUGAGGAUUUUGGUUGGGGCGACACAUUUGUUAAAAGAUAGUGCAGGUGUCUUAAGAUGAGCUCAACGAGAACAUAAAUCUCAUGUGGAACAAAAGGGUAAAAGCUCAUUUGAUUUUGAUUUUAGUACUAAUACAAAUCUUGAAAGCGUGGCCUAUCGAUCCUUUAGAAUUUCAUAAUUUGAAGCUAGAGGUGUCAUAAAAUUUACCAUAGGGAUAAGUGGAUUGUGGUAGCCAAGCAUUCAUAGCGACAUUUCAUUUGAUACUUCGAUGUCGGCUCUUCCUAUCAUUGUGAAACAGAAUUCACCAUGUGUUGGAUUGUUCACUCGCCAAUAGGGAACGUGAGUUGGGUUUCGAUUGUCGUGAGUCAGGUUAGUUUUACCCUACUGAUGAGCCACAUCACAAUAGUAAUUAAACUUAGUACAAGAGGAACCAUUGAUUCACAUAAUUGGUCAUCGUGCUUGGUUGAAAAUCCAGUGGUGCGAAGCUACCAUGUGUUGGAUUAUGAUUGAAUUCCUCUAAGUCAGAAUCAAUGCUAGAAGUGGUGCAUGGUACUCUUCUAUACCUCUAGUAAGGGUUUCGCUUUGUCGCCCCCAGGGGCCCGUGUCAUUUGCAAAUCAUGAUUGUGAAGCAUCAUGGUCAGGGCAGCUUUGACGUUCAAUUCCAAAUGAUCGUUGAGAAGAAU